This is a long non-coding RNA of Equus asinus (donkey), 2081 nucleotides long. Lineage: Eukaryota; Metazoa; Chordata; Mammalia; Perissodactyla; Equidae. The record is from Ensembl.
GGAGGAGCAGAAAGAAGGCCAGAGUGGCUGGAGAUCGUAAUGGGGAGAGAGUUACAAGAUGAGAGACCAGCACCAGCUGAUGCGGCCAGGCCAGGUCCCAGAAGUGACUGUGUCAGGAUGGAGGGUGGCCCUGGGCAUCCUGCCAUUGAAAGCUGAUUGGAGCUGGACCAGCUUAGGCCAGUCUAGAGCUGAGGAGUAUCAUCAAGAGCAGGACCCUCUGGAAUGUGGCUGUUUGUGGAAAGAGCCAGAAGAACCCAGAGCGGGUAGAGGAAAUGUCUUCCUCCCCUACAGUGAUGUCAGAGGCCAUGUCUGCUUUGGUCAUGCUUGUCCCCUCCACACCUGACACAGUGCCCAGCACCCACCGAGUAUUGAUUGAGUGGAUGGACGGAUGCACGUUGGAGCUGAGACCCAGACUGGCCCACGUCCUCCCACACCUGCAUCCUAAGACUGCCAGCCUGGUUGGAAAAGCUGAUCAUAUCCGGGCUAGAGAUGCUCCUUAUCAAAGUCAAGGCCAAGAUCCAUGGGAAAGGAUCAGGUCACAGCAAAGGAUCCAGAGGAGCAAAUUCCCUUCCAUGAGGCAGAUGUGACCCAGCGAUUCCACUCCAGGCGUGACCAAGUGCUGAUUCCUCGUCUCCAUGAAAGGCAUUGUAGCAGGUGCAAAACCCGGAGAUUAUCCCAAGAAUUAAGAUAUGAAAAGCGUGUUAGAUCACUAAACUCCAAUUAGGGAAAUGAAAUUGUGCGCAUUCCCCUCCUAACACAAUAUCGGGGGCCUGCAUCAGCUCUGGGUGCUGGGUCUAAUGAAAUUAGAGAAUAACACUUUAAUUGAAUUGUGCUUAAAAGGAUCAUGCUGACAAAUGUGAUUGUAUCUGUCUGGGAUGCACACCUUCUCCGGCAAUCAUUAAAUCCAAUGAAAUGCUAGUCUCAGGAUCGCGACAGUUUCUGAAGCAAUCUGUGAACCGUGCUGUAUCUCGGAGCAUCUAAUCAAUUUAGAGCCGCCUCAUUAGGACUUGGCUGCUAACGGAUACUUAAAAAUCAAAGCAAAUUACUGCACUCCGUGGAUAACUAGCUAAUCAUAUCGAUACAACAUGGCUGGAUUGUGUUGCAACAAUUCAUUUCCUCUUUAAGAAGCCACUGUCACCCAUAAUUUAGGGAUUGAGAUUCAUAAGCCUGAUGCAGACAGCUCCCAUGUCAAGGAUUUUCCUGAACUCAACAGCAAGGGGUGCAUGCCACCCCAGCAAUUGUGAGUGAACCAAAGCCAGCCCCCUGACUCCUUUUGUUUAUACCCUACCUACCCCCUAGGCUCAUUCCUGAGUAAUGAGCCCAAGACCUCUAUUGUACAGAAGAGGAAUCAGAAGCUCAGAGACGGACAGCAUCUUUCCUAAGAUCACACAGCAAUUAGUGGCACAACCAGGAUUUGACCCUUGUUGACAUCACAUCAAAUUUUCUAGUACUUUAAUAGUAAUUUAGAACAAUAAUUAUUCUUUCACUGACAGUUUACUUGGGUCCUAUUUUAAUAUUCUUAUUGAUAAUGAACCUCGCCAUCAUCAUCAUCAUCAUUAUAAUAGGAAUAGCCUAUACUUACAUAGAACGUAUUACAAAUGUAAUUCAUUUAAUUGUGUCAACAACCCUAGAAGUACGUUCUAUGAUUAUGGUAGGCGUUAAUGCUAGUUGCCAACUGUUUCUGGCUCUUCCUCUCCAGGUCAUGCGGUAGGACUGCUCAUCCUGGCCCCCUGCGGCUAGAUGGAUCAGGAGACCAGUUCUGGCCAAUGAGUGUGAACAGAAGGGACCUGUGUUAUUUAUGGGCCCAAGCAUGAUUGCUGGGUCAAGAUCUCCAUCAUUCUUUUCCCCUCCAGCUCAUAAACCAGCAACACUUGAGGUGGGAGCUUUUCUGAAUACAAUGAGCCGAAACUCCUCGCCCACCCACAAUGGACUUGUCGCGUGAGUGAGAAAUAAACUUGAGUUAUUGGAAGCCACUGAGCUGUUGGGGUUGUCUGUUACUGCAGGAGAACCUCGCUUGUGCUGACUGGUAGAAUUCUCACCCCUAUUUCACAGAGGAGGAAACUAAAGCACAUGGAGAUGAA